RNAcentral lists this ribosomal RNA (203 nucleotides) under Mayaponera constricta. Its description in RNAcentral is "partial large subunit ribosomal RNA". The record is from RNAcentral. Lineage: Eukaryota; Metazoa; Arthropoda; Insecta; Hymenoptera; Formicidae.
GAAUUUUAUAAUCUUAAUUAAAUUAAUUUAAUUAAGAUUAUUUAAUUGGGAGGAUAAUUAAAUUUAUUUAACUUUAAUAAAAAUUUUAUAACUUUAAUUAAAGAAAUAAAAUUAAAGAAUAAUUUUUAAUUAUAUUAGAAUUAAUUACCUUAGGGAUAACAGCAUAAUAUUUUUUUUUAGUUCAUAUAUAAAAAAAUGUUUAU